This 111-nucleotide small RNA is filed under the name Leeuwenhoekiella marinoflava. Its description in RNAcentral is "Flavo-1 RNA". It matches the Rfam family "Flavo-1 RNA". The record is from RNAcentral. RNAcentral also lists the same sequence under 1 other name. Lineage: Bacteria; Pseudomonadati; Bacteroidota; Flavobacteriia; Flavobacteriales; Flavobacteriaceae.
AACUAGCCCUGAUUGCAGCGGCGUCCUUUUUGCCGACUGCUGAGUGAUUUGCUCCCAGAGCAAAUUGUAUUGGAGCACGGUAAAAAGAUACAGCGGUAAGCAGGUAACAGC